This 461-nucleotide ribosomal RNA is filed under the name Streptococcus infantis. Its description in RNAcentral is "bacterial SSU rRNA". It matches the Rfam family "Bacterial small subunit ribosomal RNA", at positions 28 to 472 of the family's 1533-position model. Lineage: Bacteria; Bacillati; Bacillota; Bacilli; Lactobacillales; Streptococcaceae. The record is from RNAcentral.
GACGAACGCUGGCGGCGUGCCUAAUACAUGCAAGUAGAACGCUGAAGGAGGAGCUUGCUCUUUCCGGAUGAGUUGCGAACGGGUGAGUAACGCGUAGGUAACCUGCCUGGUAGCGGGGGAUAACUAUUGGAAACGAUAGCUAAUACCGCAUAACAGUAGAUAUCGCAUGAUAGCUACUUGAAAGGUGCAAUUGCACCACUAUCAGAUGGACCUGCGUUGUAUUAGCUAGUUGGUGAGGUAACGGCUCACCAAGGCCACGAUACAUAGCCGACCUGAGAGGGUGAUCGGCCACACUGGGACUGAGACACGGCCCAGACUCCUACGGGAGGCAGCAGUAGGGAAUCUUCGGCAAUGGACGGAAGUCUGACCGAGCAACGCCGCGUGAGUGAAGAAGGUUUUCGGAUCGUAAAGCUCUGUUGUAAGAGAAGAACGAGUGUGAGAGUGGAAAGUUCACACUGUGA